GAUGAAGAACGCAGCGAAAUGCGAUAAGUAGUGUGAAUUGCAGAAUUCAGUGAAUCAUCGAAUCUUUGAACGCACCUUGCGCUCCUUGGUAUUCCGAGGAGCAUGCCUGUUUGAGUGUCAUUAAAUUCUCAACCUCACCUGGUUUCUGACUUGUGUGAUGGCUUGGAUUUGGGAGUUGUGCAGGCUGUAGUUAUCUGCGGCUCUGCUCUCCUUAAAUGUAUUAGCAGGUCUUUUACCUCUAUCCCAACAGUGUGAUAAUCUAUCUACGCUGCUGGUUUGGAGACCCACUUGUGGGGGACUGGCUUCUAAUCGUCUGCAAAGACAACUUGACAUUCUUGACCUCAAAUCAGGUAGGACUACCCGCUGAACUUAAGCAUAUCAAUAAGCGGAGGA
Molecule: unclassified non-coding RNA, 393 nt
Filed under: soil metagenome
Description: partial contains 5.8S ribosomal RNA, internal transcribed spacer 2, and large subunit ribosomal RNA
Rfam family: 5.8S ribosomal RNA (bases 1-120)
Source: RNAcentral